This 393-nucleotide ribosomal RNA is filed under the name uncultured soil bacterium. Its description in RNAcentral is "bacterial SSU rRNA". It matches the Rfam family "Bacterial small subunit ribosomal RNA", at positions 26 to 419 of the family's 1533-position model. The record is from RNAcentral.
AGAUUGAACGCUAGCGGGAUGCUUUACACAUGCAAGUCGAAUGGCAGCGCGGACUUCGGUCUGGCGGCGAGUGGCGAACGGGUGAGUAAUAUAUCGGAACGUGCCCAGUAGCGGGGGAUAACUACGCGAAAGCGUGGCUAAUACCGCAUACGCCCUACGGGGGAAAGGGGGGAUUCUUCGGAACCUCUCACUAUUGGAGCGGCCGAUAUCAGAUUAGCUAGUUGGUGAGGUAAAGGCUCACCAAGGCGACGAUCUGUAGCUGGUUUGAGAGGACGACCAGCCACACUGGGACUGAGACACGGCCCAGACUCCUACGGGAGCAGCAGUGGGAAUUUUGGACAAGUGGGGAAACCCUGAUCCAGCCAUCCCGCGUGUGCGAUGAAAGGUCCGUUA